Non-coding RNA from Crucibulum laeve, 99 nucleotides. Lineage: Eukaryota; Fungi; Basidiomycota; Agaricomycetes; Agaricales; Nidulariaceae. The record is from the annotation of a GenBank genome assembly.
GCCCUCUUAGCUCAGUGGUAGAGCGCGUCACUCGUAUUUCGCUUAUGCAAGCGUUGCGCGACCAUGAUGAGGUCGGUUGUUCAAUCCAGCCAGCGGGCA